CGACGAGUCGAGUUGUUUGGGAAUGCAGCUCUAAGUGGGUGGUAAAUUCCAUCUAAAGCUAAAUAUUGGCGAGAGACCGAUAGCGAACAAGUACAGUGAUGGAAAGAUGAAAAGCACUUUGAAAAGAGAGUGAAACAGCACGUGAAAUUGUUGAAAGGGAAGGGCUUGCAAGCAGACACGGUUUUACCGGGCCAGCGUCGAAAAGGGGGGAGGAACAAGAACUCGAGAAUGUGGCGCGCACCUUCGGGCGCGCGUGUUAUAGCUCGUGUUGACGCCUCCAUCCCUUUUCGAGGCCUGCGAUUCUAGGACGCUGGCGUAAUGGUUGCAAGCCGCCCGUCUUGAAACACGGACCAAGGAGUCUAACGUCUAUGCGAGUGUUUGGGUGCAAAACCCCAGCGCGGAAUGAAAGUAAGAGGUUGGAGCCGCAAGGCGCACAAUCGACCGACCCUGAAGUGCUCGGACGGGUUUGAGUAGGAGCAUAGCUGUUGGGACCCGAAAGAUGGUGAACUAUGCCUGGAUAGGGUGAAGCCAGAGGAAACUCUGGUGG
RNAcentral lists this ribosomal RNA (547 nucleotides) under Clavispora lusitaniae. RNAcentral describes it as "LSU rRNA". It matches the Rfam family "Eukaryotic large subunit ribosomal RNA", at positions 258 to 870 of the family's 3401-position model. The record is from RNAcentral. Lineage: Eukaryota; Fungi; Ascomycota; Pichiomycetes; Serinales; Metschnikowiaceae.